Molecule: ribosomal RNA, 254 nt
Filed under: uncultured bacterium
Lineage: Bacteria
Description: partial 16S ribosomal RNA
Rfam family: Bacterial small subunit ribosomal RNA
Source: RNAcentral
UACGGGGGGAGCAAGCGUUGUUCGGAUUUACUGGGCGUAAAGGGCGCGUAGGCGGCCACUGCAGGUCAAUUGUGAAAUCUCCGGGCUUAACUCGGAAAGGUCAACUGAUACUGCAGGGCUAGAGUGCGGAAGGGGCAACUGGAAUUCUCGGUGUAGCGGUGAAAUGCGUAGAUAUCGAGAGGAACACCUGCGGCGAAGGCGGGUUGCUGGGCCGACACUGACGCUGAAGUGCGAAAGCUAGGGGAGCGAACGGG